GUCGGCAGCCACGUCAGCAAGCCCGGUCAGCAGUCCCGGCCAACCGGGACCUGCCACGUGGCAAAACCACGUCGUUCCAAAAAGGACCACGUUGGCGAUCCGCGUGGGCGCGAUCGGACGGCCCAGAUCAAGCGUGCGAUCGGACGGCCCAGAUUUAAACGCACGGACGACCCAGAUUUAAUAAAAAACGGACGGCCCAGAUUAAAACAAAAUGGACGGCUGAGAUCAAAAAGCAAGGGGUUAUAAAUAGAACCCCCACACCAGACCACAAACCCUA
RNAcentral lists this long non-coding RNA (277 nucleotides) under Carica papaya (papaya). RNAcentral's name for it is "long non-coding RNA (CPAP_LNC014158)". The record is from RNAcentral. Lineage: Eukaryota; Viridiplantae; Streptophyta; Magnoliopsida; Brassicales; Caricaceae.